UACAGAGGGGGCAAGCGUUAUUCGGAAUUAUUGGGCGUAAAGGGCGCGUAGGCGGCCCAGCAAGUCAGGGGUGAAAUCCCUCGGCUCAACCGAGGAACUGCCUCUGAAACUGCAGGGCUUGAGACCGGGAGAGGGUGGUGGAAUUCCCAGUGUAGCGGUGAAAUGCGUAGAUAUUGGGAGGAACACCGGUGGCGAAGGCGGCCACCUGGACCGGUUCUGACGCUGAGGCGCGAAAGUGUGGGGAGCAAACAGGAUUAGAAACCCCCGUAGUCC
Molecule: ribosomal RNA, 273 nt
Filed under: uncultured bacterium
Lineage: Bacteria
Description: partial 16S ribosomal RNA
Rfam family: Bacterial small subunit ribosomal RNA
Source: RNAcentral